UACGGGGGGGGUAAGCGUUGUUCGGAAUUAUUGGGCGUAAAGAGCGUGUAGGCGGUUUGGUAGGUCCGCUGUGAAAACUCGAGGCUCAACCUCGAGACGCCGGUGGAAACCAUCAGGCUAGAGUCCGGAAGAGGAGAGUGGAAUUCCUGGUGUAGCGGUGAAAUGCGCAGAUAUCAGGAAGAACACCCGUGGCUAAGGCGGCUCUCUAGUACGGUACUGACGCUGAGACGCGAAAGCGUGGGGAGCGAACAGG
Molecule: ribosomal RNA, 253 nt
Filed under: uncultured bacterium
Lineage: Bacteria
Description: partial 16S ribosomal RNA
Rfam family: Bacterial small subunit ribosomal RNA
Source: RNAcentral